CGGUGCGCUUGCCCGCCGCCUGGUGCGGCCUGGUGGGUUUCAAACCGACCCUGGGACGCAUCCCGAUCGACCCGUACUACACCGGUCGCACCGCC
Molecule: transfer RNA, 95 nt
Filed under: Pseudomonas fluorescens
Lineage: Bacteria; Pseudomonadati; Pseudomonadota; Gammaproteobacteria; Pseudomonadales; Pseudomonadaceae
Description: tRNA-Sec
Source: RNAcentral